Molecule: ribosomal RNA, 327 nt
Filed under: uncultured eukaryote
Lineage: Eukaryota
Description: partial 18S ribosomal RNA
Rfam family: Eukaryotic small subunit ribosomal RNA
Source: RNAcentral
CCCUUAGAUGUUCUGGGCCGCACACGCGCUACACUGAAGGAGGCAGCGUGUACUCCUGGAUCGAAAGAUUUGGGUAACCCGCGAAUCUCCUUCGUGCUAGGGAUUGAGGUUUGCAAUUAUCCUUCAUGAACGAGGAAUUCCCAGUAAGUGCAAGUCAUAAGCUUGCGCUGACUACGUCCCUGCCCUUUGUACACACCGCCCGUCGCUACUACCGAUUGAAUGAUUUAGUGAGGACUUCGGACUGGGACCGAUGCGGCUUUCGGGCUGCGUCGGUAUUCUGGAAAGAUGCCCAAACUGUAUCAUUUAGAGGAAGUAAAANUCGUAACA